Molecule: ribosomal RNA, 159 nt
Filed under: uncultured bacterium
Lineage: Bacteria
Description: partial 16S ribosomal RNA
Rfam family: Bacterial small subunit ribosomal RNA
Source: RNAcentral
UGAGGAAUAUUGGUCAAUGGCCGAGAGGCUGAACCAGCCAAGUCGCGUGAGGGAAGACGGCCCUACGGGUUGUAAACCUCUUUUGUCGGGGAGCAAAGCGAACCACGUGUGGUUCAUUGAGAGUACCCGAAGAAAAAGCAUCGGCUAACUCCGUGCCAA